Molecule: ribosomal RNA, 465 nt
Filed under: uncultured bacterium
Lineage: Bacteria
Description: partial 16S ribosomal RNA
Rfam family: Bacterial small subunit ribosomal RNA
Source: RNAcentral
GACGAACUCUGGCGGCGUGCUUAACACAUGCAAGUCGAACGGAAAGGCCCUGCUUGCAGGGUACUCGAGUGGCGAACGGGUGAGUAACACGUGGGUGAUCUGCCCUGCACUUCGGGAUAAGCUUGGGAAACUGGGUCUAAUACCGGAUAGGAACCAUCUUUAGUGUGGUGGUUGGAAAGUUUUUUCGGUGUAGGAUGAGCUCGCGGCCUAUCAGCUUGUUGGUGGGGUAAUGGCCUACCAAGGCGGCGACGGGUAGCCGGCCUGAGAGGGUGUACGGCCACAUUGGGACUGAGAUACGGCCCAGACUCCUACGGGAGGCAGCAGUGGGGAAUAUUGCACAAUGGGCGCAAGCCUGAUGCAGCGACGCCGCGUGGGGGAUGAAGGCCUUCGGGUUGUAAACUCCUUUCGCUAGGGACGAAGCUUUUUGUGACGGUACCUAGAUAAGAAGCACCGGCUAACUACGUG